Long non-coding RNA from Gambusia affinis (western mosquitofish), 732 nucleotides. RefSeq lists it as uncharacterized. NCBI's taxonomy places the organism in Eukaryota, Metazoa, Chordata, Actinopteri, Cyprinodontiformes, Poeciliidae. The record is from RefSeq and is a predicted model, not a curated record. The transcript has 2 exons.
GUGUUACCACAAAGCAAAAUUCACCUGAAUUUAACUAAAAUAAAAAUCGCCUGGCAAUAGUUUGUGACACACUGGGUUAGUCCAGUAGCUGUAUCACUCCCUCCCUCUGUUUCCUCAGCAGGAGUGAGUUACAGAGUGACUCGGCCCACCGAUAAGGACGCUGCAGUGUGACUCGCCAUACGGCCACAGACAUGAUAAACCAUAAAAGGGUAAAACGGGAUGAGGAUUUAUGCUGUGACCCAAUAUUUGGUGACUGAGCCGUCCGGAGUGUUUCACUUACUUCGAUCAUAUCGAUGAGGUUGUAGAAGUACUGCUGGUUGUCGAUGGUCAGCUUGUUGUCUUGGUAAAUCACUCGGUAAUGGAAGACCUCUUUCGAGAAGCUGACACACAGGACGUAGUCGCCUGGGUGGCGUAUGCUCUCUCGCACCAGGAAGAGGCCAUCCUGAGGCGGCUGCAGCUUUCCCACCGCAGCCGGUCCGGAGAUCUUCCCGUGAAACCAGCUGAGGACAGACAUGAGAGGGCUGAAACUAAUGACUGUGAUCGAUUAUUUUAGCGAUCAAUUUGCUGAUUAAUUGGAUUAAAAAGAAAUUGGCACAUUUUGCAGUACUUUUUUUAAACGUUAUUUGAAAUACACUAAUAAUGCCAAUGAGCAAACAAUUCAAUAAUUUUUUUGAUUAAGAAAACAACACUUUGUCAAAAAUCCAAUAGCAAUAAAAAAUAAAAAUACUUUCA